GCCCCCGUAGUUCAACGGAUAGAACGGCGGAUUCCUAAUCCGCAAAUGAAGGUUCGAUUCCUUCCGGGGGUACCA
RNAcentral lists this transfer RNA (75 nucleotides) under Kosmotoga arenicorallina. It matches the Rfam family "tRNA". Rfam says of the family: Transfer RNA (tRNA) molecules are approximately 80 nucleotides in length. Their secondary structure includes four short double-helical elements and three loops (D, anti-codon, and T loops). The record is from RNAcentral. RNAcentral also lists the same sequence under 7 other names. Lineage: Bacteria; Thermotogati; Thermotogota; Thermotogae; Kosmotogales; Kosmotogaceae.